RNAcentral lists this ribosomal RNA (444 nucleotides) under uncultured bacterium. RNAcentral's name for it is "bacterial SSU rRNA". It matches the Rfam family "Bacterial small subunit ribosomal RNA", at positions 359 to 795 of the family's 1533-position model. The record is from RNAcentral.
GAAUCUUUUGCAAUGGACGAAAGUCUGACAAAGCGACGCUGUGUGAAUGAUGAAGGCCUUCGGGUUGUAAAGUUCUUUCGCUUAGGAACAAGGCAAUGUUAUGAAUAAUAGCAGAGUUUGAGCGUACUAAGUAAAGAAGCACCGGCUAACUCCGUGCCAGCAGCUGCGGUAAUACGGAGGGUGCAAGCAUUAAUCGGAUUUACUGGGCGUAAAGGGCGCGUAGGCGGACAUAUAAGUUAGAUGUGAAAUUUCGGUGCUCAACACCGAAGCUGCAUUUAAAACUGUAUAUCUUGAGGGUAGGCGGAGAAAAUGGAAUUCCACGUGUAGCGGUGAAAUGCGUAGAUAUGUGGAAGAACACCGGUGGCGAAAGCGAUUUUCUAGCUUAUACCUGACGCUGAGGCGCGAGAGCAAGGGUAGCAAACAGGAUUAGAUACCCUUGUAGUC